AGUGCGGGCGUGGAUUACGGACUCGGUUUAACUUAUUAAUCAGCUAGAGCCAUUGGAGGCGGCUGGGCGCGUGGUGUGAGCCGUGUGUUCUGUCAGUUCAGCUGCUCGUAUGAAUCUGCCGGGCUGCGACAGACACAGGGCUUCUCUGCAGAGGGGAAACUAGCGCCGGCCCGGCCUUUUCCUGGCCCACCCACCCCCAGGUGAGACGGCAGAGUGAGUCCACCCUCUCCUCACGGGGAUCACAGCAGCACUCCUAACCACCCACGAGCGGAAUCAGCUGAGGGUCCACUGGUAGAGGGACGAGAACGCCAUCCCUGGAGCCGCCGAGCAGCAGUCAGCCAUGGCAAGGAGCGAGGUGCCACCCACACCAAACCUGUGACCUUGAAAACACCUGCCAGCCAAGGAAGCCGGGCACAAAGACCCCCGGUGAGCGGGCCCAUGGAGGACGUCCAGAACGGGCGAAUCUGCAGGCAGAAAGUGCAUGGGCGCUGGGGCGGGGGGAGAGAGCCGCAGCUACAGGGCGUGGGCUCUUCUUGAGAUAAUCAUGACGCCCUGUAACUGACGCGGCCAAGAGACGCACAAUGUGGGUGGCUGGAACCUCCGAUUGCACACUUUAAAGGACAAGUUGUGUGGUGUGCAAGUUAUAUCAAUAAAACUCGCAUGAAAAUACA
This is a long non-coding RNA of Marmota monax (woodchuck), 671 nucleotides long. RefSeq lists it as uncharacterized. The transcript has 2 exons. The record is from RefSeq and is a predicted model, not a curated record. Lineage: Eukaryota; Metazoa; Chordata; Mammalia; Rodentia; Sciuridae.